ACGUAGGGGGCAAGCGUUGUCCGGAAUGAUUGGGCGUAAAGGGCGCGUAGGCGGCCUGGUAAGUCUGGAGUGAAAGUCCUGCUUUUAAGGUGGGAAUUGCUUUGGAUACUGUCGGGCUUGAGUGCAGGAGAGGUAAGUGGAAUUCCCGGUGUACCUGUGAUAUGCGUUGAGAUCGGGAUGAGCCCCGAUGGCGAAGGCACCUUACUGGACUGUAUCUCACGCUGAUGCGCGUAACUGUCUGCAACAAACAU
RNAcentral lists this ribosomal RNA (251 nucleotides) under uncultured prokaryote. Its description in RNAcentral is "partial 16S rRNA". It matches the Rfam family "Bacterial small subunit ribosomal RNA", at positions 525 to 775 of the family's 1533-position model. The record is from RNAcentral.